Long non-coding RNA from Nematostella vectensis (starlet sea anemone), 348 nucleotides. RefSeq lists it as uncharacterized. The record is from RefSeq and is a predicted model, not a curated record. Lineage: Eukaryota; Metazoa; Cnidaria; Anthozoa; Actiniaria; Edwardsiidae. The transcript is spliced from 2 exons.
AAUAUUGCUUUGCAUUAUAUUAGAAAGACCAGAUCCAUUUCCUUAUUAUCGUCGUCGUCGCUACAAUCCGCUUCACCGCCGCCGUCGUCGUUCCUCUGUUGGGAAGUAAAAAAAAAUGAAACCUAGAUGCUACAAUCACAAACCGGAUCAUGGACAAGCUUUGUAACCAACUAGAUAGAGAAGCACAAGCAAAUGAUACAAUGCCUACUAGAAUGAGAAUAGUGUUCACGGAUGAAACGACUUAAUGAAUCGAACAUAUAAAUCGAUAUUAGAAUUGCUUUGAAUCGUCUUUCCGAUCAUGAAUAGAUAAAAAAGAAUGCGAUCCUAGGGCAGGAAAGCGCAUGAUGU